ACUAUUCCUAGCCCAAACACAUAUAAUCUAAACUAUAAUUUUCAACUUAAAUAAAACAUUUAACAAAAUUAAAGUAUAGGAGAUAGAAAUUUUUAUCUGGAGCUAUAGAAACAGUACCGCAAGGGAAAGAUGAAAGAACAUAAUAAAAGUACAAAAAAGCAAAGAUUAACCCUUUUACCUUUUGCAUAAUGAAUUAACUAGAAAAAACAUAACACAAAGAAUUUUAGCUAUGAACCCCGAAACCAAACGAGCUACCUAAGAACAAUUUUUUGAAUGCACCCGUCUAUGUGGCAAAAUAGUGGGAAGAUUUUUAGGUAGAGGUGAAAAGCCUACCGAGCUUGGUGAUAGCUGGUUACCCAAUAAAUGAAUUUCAGUUCAACUUUAAAUUUACCUAAAGAAAAUUUAAACCUAAUGUAAAUUUAAAAUAUAAUCUAAAGAGGGACAGCUCUUUAGAUAAAGGACACAACCUUAACUAGAGAAUAAAUAUAUAAAUAUUCAUAGUUGGCUUAAAAGCAGCCAUCAAUUAAGAAAGCGUUCAAGCUCAACAUAAACCUUAUAUUAAUUUCCUUAAUAAAAAUGAGUUCCUAGAAAUACAUUGGGUCAAUCUAUAAUAUUAUAGAUGAGAUACUGUUAGUAUGAGUAACAAGAAUAAUUUCUCCUAGCACAAGCUUAUAACAACCCGGAUAACCAUUGUUAGUUAACAAUCAGUAGAAAUAAACCAAAUAUAAAUCCUCUACCCAAUCGAAUGUUAAUCCAACACAGGAGUGCACUAAGGAAAGAUUAAAAGGAAUAAAAGGAACUCGGCAAACACAAACCCCGCCUGUUUACCAAAAACAUCACCUCUAGCAUUACAAGUAUUAGAGGCACAGCCUGCCCAGUGACUAAAGUUAAACGGCCGCGGUAUCCUGACCGUGCAAAGGUAGCAUAAUCAUUUGUUCCUUAAUUAGGGACUAGUAUGAAUGGCUUAACGAGGAUUUAACUGUCUCUUAUUCCUAAUCAGUGAAAUUGACCUACCCGUGAAGAGGCGGGUAUAAAACAAUAAGACGAGAAGACCCUGUGGAGCUUUAAUUUAACAGUCCAUUUUACCUAAACACUCACCUAAUGGCUUAAAAAACAAAAUCUUGGACUGAAUAUUUCGGUUGGGGUGACCUCGGAGAAAAAAAAAUCCUCCGAAUAACAAAACUAAGACCUACAAGUCAAAGUACAUUACAAGUUACUUACUGAUCCAAACAACAUUUGAUCAACGGAACAAGUUACCCCAGGGAUAACAGCGCAAUCCUAUUCUAGAGUCCCUAUCGACAAUAGGGUUUACGACCUCGAUGUUGGAUCAGGACAUCCCAAUGGUGCAGCCGCUAUUAAUGGUUCGUUUGUUCAACGAUUAAAGUCCUACGUGAUCUGAGUUCAGACCGGAGUAAUCCAGGUCGGUUUCUAUCUAUUAACCAUUUCUCCCAGUACGAAAGGACAAGAGAAAUAGGGCCCACUUACCCAAAGCGCCCUAAAACUAAUGAAUGAAAUUAUCUCAAUUCAAAUACCAAGUUUACAUACCCUACCCAAGAUAAGGGUU
Molecule: ribosomal RNA, 1564 nt
Filed under: Eospalax fontanierii
Lineage: Eukaryota; Metazoa; Chordata; Mammalia; Rodentia; Spalacidae
Description: 16S ribosomal RNA
Rfam family: Bacterial large subunit ribosomal RNA
Source: RNAcentral